ACAACGCCGGCAUGGCAUGGCAAGGGUGCGGGGCUCCCCCUCCCCUGGUUGGGGCUCCUCUCAGCUGGCAGCCUGAUUCCGCCUCAGUAAAGACAAGAGCUCUUGGACGCUCUCCAACUCAGCUCUAUGGCUUUGCACGAGGCUGCAGAAGAGCAGAGCAGUGCCAUGCGUGGGGAAAUGUUCUUUCCGCCUCACACCACGGGCUUUGGGCUGAUACCCAGUGUCUGGGAGGACGUGGUGACGGAUCUCCUUCCUAAUCCACUGUAGCAUUAAUGGGAGUUGUAGAGAGCAGUGAGGUCUCCCUGGGCCUCCUCUUCUCCAGACUGAGCAAUCCCAGCCAGAAAAGUUUGUCUUGGAAGAGCGAGAAGCAGGUGGACAAAAGCAACCAGUCGAUAAAUGGACUGGUUAUUGACCCACACCACUGCUUAUCGACUCUCAUCACUGUCCUCUGUGUUCCCCCAUGCGCUGGUUCCUCGGUACAGGACUGCCUUCAUUCCAGCAGAAGCUAUCAGUCUGUGACGUUGUUUAUAACAGGGAGGAAAAGUCAACACCAGAAAUCUUUCCUUUACCGUGUAACCUUUGAGAUUUAUCACGGUGUUGUUUCUCCGAGGGCUGACAGUAAGGUGACAGGAGGAGCUGUCUCAUGGCUUCUUUUUUGUUUAUUGGCUCCCGGUGUAUGAGAAAGAGCUAUAAAUAAUACUCCCCGAUGCGGACGGGUGCAAUUGUUAAAGGCACUUAACCUGCUGGCUGCAGCUGUCUUCCAAGGCAGUGUUCUCCCUCCCUGGUCACUCCAGGGGCAGCGGUGCUGCCGGAGGAGAGGCGGCAGAAGUUUGGAGCGUGUUGGUUGUGUACUUGGUGAACUUCUGCCGUGGAGAGAUGCCAAGGUCAGAGCAUGAUUGAAGAACCUCCUUCCUCUCCUGAAGUCGCUGUUACUGUAUGAUAUUGUUUUCCACCGUAGAAGGUUCUCUUAAAAAUGAGGUUGAGAUCCCUAAAGAAAUUGCUUCAAUCAGCAACAGUGCUUAAUGACUGUUAAUGGGAAGUGGAGAUAGGAUAGUAAGUGUUACUUUGAUUAAUAAGAGAACUGCAGAGAAUUUAAAUUGUGCCACUGAUGGAUUAUUUUCUUCAAGCUUGAUAAGCGCUUCUCAUUUGUUCUUAAAUUUGGUCAAUACUGUUAAAGACAGCAAAAUGAAGUAUAAUUAAUUCUAUUACUGCUACUCCGACCCAGUGCUACUGGGAAACAGAUUACAAUGCAGACAACAAUGUUAGGUAACACUUCUGAUGGUUUUAUCAUACGCGGACUGGUCAGGGAUGCAAGGCAGAGAACCUCAGAACCACGCUGAGGAGCUGCCCAGCUCGCUGCCUGCCCUGGCACGUGCCCAUCUCUUUGAAUCUACCACGGACAUGAUUUCAGUGAAGGAAAUAGCUGAUUGUGAGGCACGUAGGCAAAACAGAGAGCUCCACUUUGUUCCUCCCUUCGUGUACGCAUAAGUUAUCACGGUGCUUUUGAACAGACCUAUCUGAGUUAUGCAAUAAAUAGGGAAAAUAUGCUGAGAAAUGCAGUUUGCUCAGGGGCCCUCUUGCCACUUCUGAAGUCAGAUUUUAGGAAAAGGCUCUCAGCAGCUCACCCAUUCUGCUGCCUCGGAAUGGAUCCAGGCUAUGCGCAAAGGAGUUGGGAAGCUCUUCUGGGCUCUCAUUAGAGGUGGCUGCAAUUAGCACUUAAUUUUCCAGACUCUGCCUACUUCAAAGUCUAUGCUUCUCCAAUUCUGACUGCAGAAAGUCAUUGUGUGAGUGAUGUCGAAUUAAUUUGAAAUCAGAGUGUGUUGGCUAAUAGUAUAGCUAUAAAAUCAAUGAAGGUCUAAUUCUGUUAUUAAAAAUGUAAAGCUUAUGUAUUAUGAAUAAAGAGUUCAUGCUCUUCCACGG
Molecule: long non-coding RNA, 1920 nt
Organism: Gallus gallus (chicken)
Lineage: Eukaryota; Metazoa; Chordata; Aves; Galliformes; Phasianidae
Source: Ensembl